Molecule: small RNA, 62 nt
Filed under: Podarcis lilfordi (Lilford's wall lizard)
Lineage: Eukaryota; Metazoa; Chordata; Lepidosauria; Squamata; Lacertidae
Source: RNAcentral
ACCCUGGCUGUGGCAUUUAAAUUCCGAGCGCUCCUCCAUCAAGGUGACGCGCAGCCACCACC